GAGAUUCAGUGGUAGAGUGUUUGCUCAGCAUACAGAAAGUCCCAAGCUCAAUUCUUGGCAUCACCA
This is a non-coding RNA of Podarcis lilfordi (Lilford's wall lizard), 66 nucleotides long. The record is from the annotation of a GenBank genome assembly. Lineage: Eukaryota; Metazoa; Chordata; Lepidosauria; Squamata; Lacertidae.